AGAGUUUGAUCCUGGCUCAGGAUGAACGCUGGCGGCGUGCCUAACACAUGCAAGUCGAGCGAAGGGUUGAGAGCUUGCUCUUAACUACUUAGCGGCGGACGGGUGAGUAACGCGUGGGUAACCUGCCCUGUACAGUGGAAUAACAGUUAGAAAUGACUGCUAAUGCCGCAUAAGCCAACAGUAUGGCAUCUUACAGUUGGAAAAGAUUUAUCGGUACAGGAGGGACCCGCGUCUGAUUAGCUGGUUGGUGAGGUAACGGCUCACCAAGGCGACGAUCAGUAGCCGACCUGAGAGGGUGAUCGGCCACAUUGGAACUGAGACACGGUCCAAACUCCUACGGGAGGCAGCAGUGGGGAAUAUUGCACAAUGGGGGAAACCCUGAUGCAGCAACGCCGCGUGAAGGAAGAAGUAUUUCGGUAUGUAAACUUCUAUCGACAGGGAAGAAACAAAUGACGGUACCUGAAUAAGAAGCACCGGCUAAAUACGUGCC
Molecule: ribosomal RNA, 490 nt
Filed under: uncultured organism
Description: SSU rRNA
Rfam family: Bacterial small subunit ribosomal RNA
Source: RNAcentral